RNAcentral lists this microRNA precursor (83 nucleotides) under Lottia gigantea (owl limpet). Its description in RNAcentral is "microRNA lgi-mir-745b precursor". Its record names the gene lgi-mir-745b. The record is from miRBase by way of RNAcentral. Lineage: Eukaryota; Metazoa; Mollusca; Gastropoda; Lottiidae.
AUAGACUCAUCUUAGCUCUUCAUUGGGUCAGCUAUCGUAAUUUAGAAAGAGAGCUGCCAAAUGAAGGGCUGUGAUUGGUUAAA